UUAGCCUUUUUUGUAUUGCCACUAACCACUAAAUAGGCGGAUUUUAGAAAAUGAAUACAGUAUUUUUUAAAAUAUGAUAAUUAAAAAAUUAUUUCCAAUUCCAUGACAAUUUGUAUGAUUUUUUUUUUUUUAAUACAUCAUUGGAAAACACAAGAAAACGACGUCGUUCGAAGCAGAACUGUAAAGCGCCCUUCGGCCUAGCAUCGACUCUCUUCACUGCAAUCGGUGGCUUUUGCGGUCUCUCUCUAGCUCUAGAAACUUCAAAAACAAAAAAGUUUGUGUCUCGUCUUAAUUCACAUCCAUAUUUAGCGUUGUUGGGUGAAUUCAUCAAUAAGGAAAAAUGCAGUUCUUUGGAGGGUCGGAGAUCAGCCCAUUGCCGCCGCUGCCAACAGCAUCGGGAAACAAUGCCCACAUAAUGUAUGUGUUUAACAGGAAUGGGGUGUGCUUGCUUUACAGGGAAUGGAAUCGCCCUCUUAGGACUCUGAAUGCCCAGCAAGACCAUAAGCUCAUGCUUGGUCUCCUUUUCUCUCUGAAGUCCUUAACAGCUAAGAUGGAUCCCACUAGUUAUAUCUUCUUCCUAGUCUUUUAUUCGAAUUGGAACUGUUUUCGGGGUGUUUAGGUGUUUUGUGGAAAUGGAAUUACUUGAUUUUGUAUUUGGAUAACUUUUGAAAGCAUAAAUUCAUUGUUUGGAAUACAAUUAUAAC
Vitis vinifera (wine grape) is the source of this 704-nucleotide long non-coding RNA. RefSeq lists it as uncharacterized. The transcript is spliced from 2 exons. The record is from RefSeq and is a predicted model, not a curated record. NCBI's taxonomy places the organism in Eukaryota, Viridiplantae, Streptophyta, Magnoliopsida, Vitales, Vitaceae.